GACUUCGUGGCGCAAUUGGUAGCGCGUCCGACUCCAGAUCGGAAGGCUGCGUGUUCAAAUCACGUCGAGGUCA
RNAcentral lists this transfer RNA (73 nucleotides) under Folsomia candida. It matches the Rfam family "tRNA". Rfam says of the family: Transfer RNA (tRNA) molecules are approximately 80 nucleotides in length. Their secondary structure includes four short double-helical elements and three loops (D, anti-codon, and T loops). Further hydrogen bonds mediate the characteristic L-shaped molecular structure. tRNAs have two regions of fundamental functional importance: the anti-codon, which is responsible for specific mRNA codon recognition, and the 3' end, to which the tRNAs corresponding amino acid is attached (by aminoacyl-tRNA synthetases). tRNAs cope with the degeneracy of the genetic code in two manners: having more than one tRNA (with a specific anti-codon) for a particular amino acid; and 'wobble' base-pairing, i.e. permitting non-standard base-pairing at the 3rd anti-codon position. The record is from Rfam by way of RNAcentral. Lineage: Eukaryota; Metazoa; Arthropoda; Collembola; Entomobryomorpha; Isotomidae.